GGCGCACGGGUGCGUAACGCGUGGGAAUCUGCCCUUGGGUUCGGAAUAACAUCGGGAAACUGAUGCUAAUACCGGAUGAUGACGUAAGUCCAAAGAUUUAUCGCCCAGGGAUGAGCCCGCGUAGGAUUAGCUAGUUGGUGAGGUAAAGGCUCACCAAGGCGACGAUCCUUAGCUGGUCUGAGAGGAUGAUCAGCCACACUGGGACUGAGACACGGCCCAGACUCCUACGGGAGGCAGCAGUAGGGAAUAUUGGACAAUGGGCGAAAGCCUGAUCCAGCAAUGCCGCGUGAGUGAUGAAGGCCUUAGGGUUGUAAAGCUCUUUUACCCGGGAUGAUAAUGACAGUACCGGGAGAAUAAGCCCCGGCUAACUCCGUGCCAGCAGCCGCGGUAAUACGGAGGGGGCUAGCGUUGUUCGGAAUUACUGGGCGUAAAGCGCACGUAGGCGGCGAUUUAAGUCAGAGGUGAAAGCCCGGGGCUCAACCCCGGGAACUGCCUUUGAGACUGGAUUGCUUGAACAUCGGAGAGGUGAGUGGAAUUCCGAGUGUAGAGGUGAAAUUCGUAGAUAUUCGGAAGAACACCAGUGGCGAAGGCGGCUCACUGGACGAUUGUUGACGCUGAGGUGCGAAAGCGUGGGGAGCAACAGGAUUAGAAUACCCUGGUAGUCCACGCCGUAAACGAUGAUAACUAGCUGCUGGGGUGCAUGGCAUUUAGUGGCGCAGC
This 720-nucleotide ribosomal RNA is filed under the name uncultured bacterium. Its description in RNAcentral is "bacterial SSU rRNA". It matches the Rfam family "Bacterial small subunit ribosomal RNA", at positions 97 to 852 of the family's 1533-position model. The record is from RNAcentral.